This is a non-coding RNA of Sorex araneus (European shrew), 366 nucleotides long. The record is from the annotation of a RefSeq genome assembly. NCBI's taxonomy places the organism in Eukaryota, Metazoa, Chordata, Mammalia, Eulipotyphla, Soricidae.
AUGCGCUUCAAGCUUCUCUGCUGUGUGUUUCUUUGGUCCUGGGGAUCAGGUCAGUUUCUGCUACGAACUUCCUCUGAGGUCACCCAGAGUCCUCGACAUCUACUCAAAGAAGAAAAACAGAAAGCCACGAUGGAUUGUGUCCCUGUGAAAACGCAUAUUCACGUGUUCUGGUAUUACCAGAAGCCGGGAGAAGAGAUCAAGUUUUUGGUUUACUUACGAAGUCAAUAUAUUACUCACAAAAUACGAGGGUUUGAGGAGAGAUAUUCAGCUCAGUGCCCCCCAGACUCACCCUGCAGCCUGGAAAUCAAGUCCAGUGAAGCCGGGGACUCGGCCUUUUAUUUCUGCGCCAGCAGUGAAUCACGGUGA